This 508-nucleotide ribosomal RNA is filed under the name uncultured bacterium. Its description in RNAcentral is "bacterial SSU rRNA". It matches the Rfam family "Bacterial small subunit ribosomal RNA", at positions 791 to 1304 of the family's 1533-position model. The record is from RNAcentral.
UAGUCCACGCCGUAAACGAUGGAUACUAGCUGUCGGGACUUCGGUCUCGGCGGCCAAGCGAAAGUGAUAAGUAUCCCACCUGGGGAGUACGUUCGCAAGAAUGAAACUCAAAGGAAUUGACGGGGGCCCGCACAAGCGGUGGAGCAUGUGGUUUAAUUCGAUGAUACGCGAGGAACCUUACCAGGGCUUAAAUGUAGAUUGCAUUAGGCAGAGAUGCUUAUUUCUUCGGACUAUCUACAAGGUGCUGCAUGGUUGUCGUCAGCUCGUGCCGUGAGGUGUCAGGUUAAGUCCUAUAACGAGCGCAACCCCUACCGUUAGUUGCUAGCAGGUCAUGCUGAGGACUCUAACGGGACUGCCGGUGCAAACCGUGAGGAAGGUGGGGACGACGUCAAAUCAUCACGGCCCUUACGUCCUGGGCCACACACGUGCUACAAUGGUCGUGACAAAGAGUUGCUAGUCUGCGAAGGCAAGCCAAUCUCAUAAACGCGGCCUUAGUUCGGAUUGCAGG